GAAUAUGAUGAUUGAUAAUUGUCGCCCCAGGCUUAACUUGCAUCAAAACAUUAGUUGUAACGUGGUGAUUGACAUUUUCAAAUUCUGAUUC
Small nucleolar RNA from Salvia splendens (bonfire salvia), 91 nucleotides. RefSeq annotates it as small nucleolar RNA U31b. The record is from RefSeq and is a predicted model, not a curated record. The transcript has a single exon. NCBI's taxonomy places the organism in Eukaryota, Viridiplantae, Streptophyta, Magnoliopsida, Lamiales, Lamiaceae.